This 1040-nucleotide long non-coding RNA is filed under the name Callithrix jacchus (white-tufted-ear marmoset). Its description in RNAcentral is "lncRNA (ENSCJAG00000082148.1)". The record is from RNAcentral. Lineage: Eukaryota; Metazoa; Chordata; Mammalia; Primates; Cebidae.
AUGGUGUUUUCCAAUUUCUUAUUUGCAUGGUUGCAUAUAGCACCUAGAUCAGGAAAGCAACACAAUCCUGAUGGGCUCCAUCUUUUUAAGGAAACCCAUUGUUACAAUCUGGCAGGAACUCAGGUCAUAUACCAGAAGAACUACUGCUGCUCUCAGCAGAAGGAAACAACAUGGACUGAAGCCACUUCCUGCUCCUGACUAACUGUAUGGACAUGGGCAAGCUGUGUGAUCUCUGUGAACCUCCUAGUCUUCAUUUCUAAAAUGGGUGAGGAUAACGACACCAAAAUGAUAGGAUUACGUUGAGAAUUACAAACAAUAAUAUAUAUUUUGUUAGCUGAUAGUGACUUAAGUUGAGCAUUCAACUUAUGAUUUAUGUAUUGUUAUGUCUAUUAAUAAUAUUAGUAACAAGUUUAUUUUCUUAUAAAAGAAUUUUAUAGAACAGUGUAAGCUUGCCCUGAAAGGUGCAACAGUUGAAAUAUUACUUUUAUUUUAAGUAAUGUAUUCAGUCCUCUCAAUACAUUGUUGAAAAGGUAGGAUAUUAACUAUCAUUUAUCCUAGAAGGAAACUUUUGUUAAUGAAUGUGUCAAUCUUGAUUUGGAGUCUUAAGAUUCCAAAUUAUACUGCUUAUUAAGAGAGGCCCCUGCUGCUGAGAAUUUACUUCUCUUAGGGACUUGUUUGAUUUGAAAUAAUAUAAUCCCACCACCAUAUUUGCAUGCUCUGGGCUUACCAUAGUAUUUUCCUUUUAGGAUCCCUUCUCAGUAAUCAGUUACUUGAAGGUCAUAGGAAUAGUACUCACCCCUGGAACUAGAAGCCCAUACCUAUUAGAUGUAUUCAACAUCUUCACUAUUCUUUAGAAAAUUCUUAAGCUUCUUUCAAUACAAAGUAUAUUUGAAUGCAAAAUUGAUGAGCAUGAAGUUUGUUUGGUUUUUCUAGUGAUAUGAAUUAUUUAUCAACUUUUAAAGGUCAAAGAUGUUUGUUUUCUGUUUCUUCCAAAAAUGGCAAUGUUCUCUACAGGAAAAGGAAGAAGACAUAUUUAGAAA